Molecule: ribozyme, 116 nt
Filed under: Aedes aegypti (yellow fever mosquito)
Lineage: Eukaryota; Metazoa; Arthropoda; Insecta; Diptera; Culicidae
Description: drz-agam-1 ribozyme
Rfam family: drz-agam-1 ribozyme
Source: Rfam by way of RNAcentral
UGCCCAGCAACUCAUAUCCUUACCUCCUCGUGGUACUGGCCGAGGUACGAGUAACCUUAGGGAAGAUCGGGUAACCAACCCCGGUGGGAACUCUGGUCGUAUGCUGACAGGGAAGG